Molecule: long non-coding RNA, 404 nt
Organism: Pan paniscus (pygmy chimpanzee)
Lineage: Eukaryota; Metazoa; Chordata; Mammalia; Primates; Hominidae
Source: Ensembl
CUCCUUUCUUCCCUUAGUUUUGGAGCAAUAUGUUGCAAGGCAGGACUCAGGGAGUGUGUUGGGGCUGAGAGAAGAAACUGGAAGUUGGCUGUUCCAAGAGUGUUCUUGAAUGGAGAUAUUCAGCCUGCAGUUAGGGUUUCUUGCUAAGUUGUUCCUCUCAUUUCAGCAGAGUGGGAAGUUGAUAUGCACCGCAAAGACACAAGAAGAGAAGGAAGCCUAAGCAUAGAAGAAAAUUUUAAACAAAAUAGAAUUCACCAUGUUGUUUUCUGUACUGCAAGCCCACAGCUCUUUUCUGGGAUGUUCCUUGGGGAGAGAGCAAGCAGGCUUGGCUUUGUGAGGGCUACAAAGGGAAAUGUAAGUGUCACCAGUCAACAUCUGACCAACUUUGAUAUUACACUUCCUGU